CUAACACAUGCAAGUCGAACGGUAACAGGAAGCAGCUUGCUGCUUCGCUGACGAGUGGCGGACGGGUGAGUAAUGUCUGGGAAACUGCCUGAUGGAGGGGGAUAACUACUGGAAACGGUAGCUAAUACCGCAUAACGUCGCAAGACCAAAGAGGGGGACCUUCGGGCCUCUUGCCAUCGGAUGUGCCCAGAUGGGAUUAGCUAGUAGGUGGGGUAACGGCUCACCUAGGCGACGAUCCCUAGCUGGUCCGAGAGGAUGACCAGCCACACUGGAACUGAGACACGGUCCAGACUCCUACGGGAGGCAGCAGUGGGGAAUAUUGCACAAUGGGCGCAAGCCUGAUGCAGCCAUGCCGCGUGUAUGAAGAAGGCCUUCGGGUUGUAAAGUACUUUCAGCGGGGAGGAAGGCGACAGGGUUAAUAACCCUGUCGAUUGACGUUACCCGCAGAAGAAGCACCGGCUAACUCCGUGCCAGCAGCCGCGGUAAUACGGAGGGUGCAAGCGUUAAUCGGAAUUACUGGGCGUAAAGCGCACGCAGGCGGUCUGUCAAGUCGGAUGUGAAAUCCCCGGGCUCAACCUGGGAACUGCAUUCGAAACUGGCAGGCUAGAGUCUUGUAGAGGGGGGUAGAAUUCCAGGUGUAGCGGUGAAAUGCGUAGAGAUCUGGAGGAAUACCGGUGGCGAAGGCGGCCCCCUGGACAAAGACUGACGCUCAGGUGC
This 717-nucleotide ribosomal RNA is filed under the name uncultured Enterobacterales bacterium. Its description in RNAcentral is "bacterial SSU rRNA". It matches the Rfam family "Bacterial small subunit ribosomal RNA", at positions 48 to 754 of the family's 1533-position model. Lineage: Bacteria; Pseudomonadati; Pseudomonadota; Gammaproteobacteria; Enterobacterales. The record is from RNAcentral.